CCAAUAGCGUAUAUUAAAGUUGUUGCAGUUAAAAAGCUCGUAGUUGAAUUUCGGGAUUGACACAUCGGUCGUGCCUUAAGGGGUAUGAACUGGUGUAGUCAAUUUCUCACCUUCUGGAGAACCGCGAUGCCCUUAAUUGGGUGUCACGGGGAACCAGGACCUUUACUUUGAAAAAAUUAGAGUGUUUAAAGCAGGCAUUUUGCUUGAAUACAUUAGCAUGGAAUAAUAAAAUAGGACGGCAUGAUUCUAUUUUGUUGGUUUCUAGGAUCACCGUAAUGAUUAAUAGGGAUAGUUGGGGGCAUUAGUAUUCAAUUGUCAGAGGUGAAAUUCUUGGACUUAUUGAAGACUAACUACUGCGAAAGCAUUUGCCAAGGAUGUUUUCAUUAAUCAAGAACGAAAGUUAGGGGAUCGAAGACGAUCAGAUACCGUCGUAGUCUUAACCAUAAACUAUGCCGACUAGGAAUCAGACGAUGUUAAUUUUUUAAUGACUCGUUUGGCACCUUACG
Molecule: ribosomal RNA, 506 nt
Filed under: uncultured Glomeromycotina
Lineage: Eukaryota; Fungi; Glomeromycota
Description: partial small subunit ribosomal RNA
Rfam family: Eukaryotic small subunit ribosomal RNA
Source: RNAcentral